ACUCAAAGGAAUUGACGGGGGCCCGCACAAGCGGUGGAGCAUGUGGUUUAAUUCGACGCAACGCGAAGAACCUUACCAGGGCUUGACAUGGGAAGGACCGGACGAGAGAUCGUCCUUUCUCCGCAAGGGGACCUUCCACACAGGUGCUGCAUGGCUGUCGUCAGCUCGUGUCGUGAGAUGUUGGGUUAAGUCCCGCAACGAGCGCAACCCCCGUUUCUAGUUGCCAGCAUUCAGUUGGGCACUCUAGAGAGACUGCCGCGAAUAACGCGGAGGAAGGUGGGGACGACGUCAAGUCAUCAUGGCCCUUACGUCCUGGGCUACACACGUGCUACAAUGGGCGCCACAAAGGGUCGCAAGAGCGUAAGCUGGAGCUAAUCCCCAAAAGCGUCCUCAGUUCAGAUCGAGGUCUGCAACCCGACCUCGUGAAGGUGGAAUCGCUAGUAAUCGCGGAUCAGAACGCCGCGGUGAAUACGUUCCCGGGCCUUGUACACACCGCCCGU
This 500-nucleotide ribosomal RNA is filed under the name uncultured bacterium. RNAcentral's name for it is "partial 16S ribosomal RNA". It matches the Rfam family "Bacterial small subunit ribosomal RNA", at positions 899 to 1397 of the family's 1533-position model. The record is from RNAcentral.